This is an RNA transcript of Nematostella vectensis (starlet sea anemone), 464 nucleotides long. RefSeq lists it as uncharacterized. The record is from RefSeq and is a predicted model, not a curated record. Lineage: Eukaryota; Metazoa; Cnidaria; Anthozoa; Actiniaria; Edwardsiidae. The transcript is spliced from 2 exons.
GGUACGAGUUUGCGAAAUCACGUGGCCAAAUCAACCGGCAUCAGUUGAGCUGGAGAGAAGACCGCCAGCCUCAUGAGCUUCUUCACCAAGCUGUGCAAGAGGAGUGCCAGAAGCCAGAGAAAGUUCGCAGGCUGAACGAGUGGGUGGAGGAAAACUUCGCCAUGAGUGCAUCCCACCCAGCAGGUAAAGAUGAGGAUGGAGAACCACGUAAAGAAUUCUGGCUACCACCAGAAGUAACAGCCCAGCCAGUGUCUGAGGAUGAUGACCCCUUGGUGAGAAUGCUGUUAGACGUGGAUGCUACACAGGAGGCUGUGCGUGAAAACCAUCUGCAUCUCGUCAAUCGUGUAGGCCUUCACACCUGCUGAGAUUAUUGUCUUCGCACACCUAGACAUGCUGAACCUGGUAUGCAACCUGGAGAGGGUGUUUGUCUUAUGGAAUUUGGUUCAGAGUACCAUCGCGGGAAA